RNAcentral lists this transfer RNA (76 nucleotides) under Rhizoctonia solani. RNAcentral describes it as "tRNA-Pro". It matches the Rfam family "tRNA". From Rfam's summary of the family: Transfer RNA (tRNA) molecules are approximately 80 nucleotides in length. Their secondary structure includes four short double-helical elements and three loops (D, anti-codon, and T loops). Further hydrogen bonds mediate the characteristic L-shaped molecular structure. tRNAs have two regions of fundamental functional importance: the anti-codon, which is responsible for specific mRNA codon recognition, and the 3' end, to which the tRNAs corresponding amino acid is attached (by aminoacyl-tRNA synthetases). tRNAs cope with the degeneracy of the genetic code in two manners: having more than one tRNA (with a specific anti-codon) for a particular amino acid; and 'wobble' base-pairing, i.e. permitting non-standard base-pairing at the 3rd anti-codon position. Lineage: Eukaryota; Fungi; Basidiomycota; Agaricomycetes; Cantharellales; Ceratobasidiaceae. The record is from RNAcentral.
GGCCGCUUGGUCUAGUAGUAUGAUUCCUGUUUUGGGAUGCUACAGGAGGUCGUGGGUUCAAUUCCCACAGCGGCCC